RNAcentral lists this transfer RNA (83 nucleotides) under Caudoviricetes sp. RNAcentral's name for it is "tRNA-Leu". It matches the Rfam family "tRNA". Rfam says of the family: Transfer RNA (tRNA) molecules are approximately 80 nucleotides in length. Their secondary structure includes four short double-helical elements and three loops (D, anti-codon, and T loops). Lineage: Duplodnaviria; Heunggongvirae; Uroviricota; Caudoviricetes. The record is from RNAcentral.
GGGCAAGUGGUGGAACUGGUAGACACAACAGUCUUAGAUGCUGUCGCUUCGGUAUAGGGGUUCGAGUCCCCUCCUGCCCACCA